GCCUAACAGAAGAAAGUCGAACGAGAAAGUCCCCGCGAGGGGAUGAGUAAAGUGUCUUCCUGGUGAGUAACACGUAACUAACCUACCCUCGAGUGGGGGAUAACCUGGGGAAACUCGGGCUAAUACCGCAUUCAAUCUUUGUUGCGAUGCAACUGAGAUCAAAGGCCCGCAAGGGUCGCUCGAGGAGGGGGCUGCGGCCGAUUAGCUAAUUGGCGGGGUAACGGCCCACCAAGGCUAUGAUCUGUAGCCGGCCUGAGAGGGCGCACGGUCACACUGGCACUGAAACACGGGCCACACUCCUACGGGAGGCACCAAUGGG
RNAcentral lists this ribosomal RNA (319 nucleotides) under uncultured Acidobacteriota bacterium. RNAcentral's name for it is "bacterial SSU rRNA". It matches the Rfam family "Bacterial small subunit ribosomal RNA", at positions 46 to 358 of the family's 1533-position model. Lineage: Bacteria; Pseudomonadati; Acidobacteriota. The record is from RNAcentral.